UGAGCCAACAAACAAAAGAGCAUCAAUAUCUGCAGAAAGAUUAAGAAAGCUAUUCACAAGUUGAUUAAGUGAUGAGCAGUCUUUUUGGGACCGAAAAAUUGCUAAUCUGGCAAGACAUAUUGUUCUCUGCCAUGAAGACCUAUACGUGGUGAUGGCACCCACAUGCUCACAGACGUUCUUGCUGCUGGGAAUAUUCGAGAGCGCAUUUGGAGCGAAUAAUGUUA
This 224-nucleotide unclassified non-coding RNA is filed under the name Hevea brasiliensis (rubber tree). The record is from RNAcentral. Lineage: Eukaryota; Viridiplantae; Streptophyta; Magnoliopsida; Malpighiales; Euphorbiaceae.